UACGGGGGGGGCAAGCGUUGUUCGGAAUCAUUGGGCGUAAAGCGCGCGUAGGCGGCCCGGUAAGUCCGUUGUGAAAGUCAAAGGCUCAACCUUUGAACGCCGAUGGAUACUGCCGGGCUAGAGUCCGGAAGAGGCGAGUGGAAUUCCUGGUGUAGCGGUGGAAUGCGCAGAUAUCAGGAGGAACACCAAUAGCGAAGGCAGCUCGCUGGGACGGUACUGACGCUGAGGCGCGAAAGCGUGGGGAGCGAACAGG
This 253-nucleotide ribosomal RNA is filed under the name uncultured bacterium. Its description in RNAcentral is "partial 16S ribosomal RNA". It matches the Rfam family "Bacterial small subunit ribosomal RNA", at positions 524 to 776 of the family's 1533-position model. The record is from RNAcentral.